GAUGAACGCUGGCGGCGUGCCUAAUACAUGCAAGUCGAGCGAACAGACGAGGAGCUUGCUCCUCUGACGUUAGCGGCGGAUGGGUGAGUAACACGUGGAUAACCUACCUAUAAGACUGGGAUAACUUCGGGAAACCGGAGCUAAUACCGGAUAAUAUAUUGAACCGGAUGGUUCAAUAGUGAAAGACGGUUUUGCUGUCACUUAUAGAUGGAUCCGCGCCGCAUUAGCUAGUUGGUAAGGUAACGGCUUACCAAGGCGACGAUGCGUAGCCGACCUGAGAGGGUGAUCGGCCAGACUGGAACUGAGACACGGUCGAGACUCCUACGGGAGGAAGCAGUAGGGAAUCUUACGCAAUGGGCGAAAGCCUGACGGAGCAACGUCGCGGGAGUGCUGAAGGUCUUAGGCUCGUAAAACUCUGUUAUUCGGGAAGAACAAAUGUGUAAGUACCUAUGAACGUCUUGACGGUACCUAAUCAGAAAGCCACGGCUAACUACGUG
Molecule: ribosomal RNA, 497 nt
Filed under: uncultured bacterium
Lineage: Bacteria
Description: partial 16S ribosomal RNA
Rfam family: Bacterial small subunit ribosomal RNA
Source: RNAcentral